CUGGUAGUGCUGCAUCACACCUUCAACCCAGACUACACCGUACCUGACAGCAGCAGACUAGUGACCAGAGGUGAUGUAAUACUCACAGUGGACUGUCUCUUCCAUGAGAGCCAGGGACUACUGGAGUGUCCUCAAAAUGAAGAAGUUGUUAAAGAGAUUCUGAAGAAGCUUAAUAUACAUCCUGAGAUUGCAGUUUCUUCCUUUGACCCUCAUAUGAUCAUCGGGUGGUUCACAACUGAGGUUUUCCAAUUGUUUAAGUCAGAUCUAAAUUCAUGUUGGCCAGAAUCGCUGAGUCUUACCUCAACCACUGCAACAGAUGAAGUGCCUGUGUGUGAUCAUGAAGUGCAAAAUGAGGAUGAAGCACAUUGCUCCCCAGCCUUUAAGUUGUAAUAAUGAGUGAAUAAGUGGAUUGAAGUCUGAUUU
Long non-coding RNA from Coregonus clupeaformis (lake whitefish), 423 nucleotides. RefSeq lists it as uncharacterized. Lineage: Eukaryota; Metazoa; Chordata; Actinopteri; Salmoniformes; Salmonidae. The record is from RefSeq and is a predicted model, not a curated record. The transcript has 3 exons.